This 29-nucleotide non-coding RNA is filed under the name Mus musculus (house mouse). The record is from RNAcentral. Lineage: Eukaryota; Metazoa; Chordata; Mammalia; Rodentia; Muridae.
UNGAUUGGUACUAGGCCUGGUGUAGAUGA